AGUUCUGAGAUGACUUGUACAAGCCACCAGGACCAGCAUGUUGGACAUGUUCUGACCCUCCUGGAAGACAUUAAGGAGACUCAGAGGGUCCACAGUCGAAUGCUACAGUCUCUCCUCAAACAACGUGAUGGACCUGUUGCUGCAGGAUUACCCGAGGAUGCUUUCCCCCUCCAGAUGUGGCAGCAAACAUUGGCAGACCCUGUCUUCCUAAAGGAAGUGGUUGUUGUUGCAGAGACCAGAGGGAGCGCUGUUGAUGAAGCCACCACAAGAAUGAUGGCCUUCAUGGAGACGAUGGAUUGGUCAAUGAGCUCUGGUUUGCUGCAUUACUUUUUCUUUUAAAAUGUAUAACACUGACUUGUUAAUUUUCACUAUUUGUUGUGUACUGUGGACAUUUUUGUUAACAUGUAAACAAAAAAAAUGUGCCAUAUAACAAAAAAGCAUAGCGUUUCAAAAUUGUGUAUGAAUCAGUCUUAAUAAAAAAAUAACUGA
Oreochromis niloticus (Nile tilapia) is the source of this 489-nucleotide long non-coding RNA. RefSeq lists it as uncharacterized. NCBI's taxonomy places the organism in Eukaryota, Metazoa, Chordata, Actinopteri, Cichliformes, Cichlidae. The transcript has 2 exons. The record is from RefSeq and is a predicted model, not a curated record.